CGGCUGGAUCACCUCCUUUCUAAGGAUGGUUCUUCAGAAGCUUGCUUCUAUCGAACCGUUUUAGAAACAUCAGUGGCCAACGAUCGUCAGGAUUGUUGAGCUGCAUUGGCGGGAUUUCGCCGUCUUCGUUUCUCUUUCUUCGCGGACGAACACGCGCUGGGCCUGCGAGAGCAGGGUCCCUGGUCCUUGACGGGAUAUGCGUUAGGGGCUUGUAGCUCAGUUGGUUAGAGCGCGCGCUUGAUAAGCGUGAGGUCGGAAGUUCAAGUCUUCCCAGGCCCACCACACUCAUCGGGUAAGCAUUCGUCUUCUGGUUACGGGGCCAUAGCUCAGCUGGGAGAGCGCGUGCUUUGCAAGCAUGAGGUCGUCCGUUCGAUCCCGUCUGGCUCCACCAGAUGGUUUGAUCACCGAGGCUGUGUUUGGAGGUAUUCAACCGUCGUCCGCGACACAUCACUUCGCACCUGCUAGUCUGGAUAGACAGUGAGGUUGCGUGAUUUCUGACAUCGUAAAGAGGAGAUCGAUCCGAGUUGGAUCGGGCAGCAAGCAAUUGCUGCGCGAACCUUCAUUAUCUCCGGAUCAUUUCGGCGCUCGCGCGCCUUUCAAUGCGGCUCACAAGGCUGCGUCUGAAGGGAAUGCGGGUUGUAAAUGAUCCUUUUAGCGAAGCUUGACCGCCUCGCUAUCGGAACGAUCUUACGAAGCAAGCUGGUCUUUCUAAUCAUUGUCCGGCUGUACGUAGCGUUCAUCGAGGCCGCGUGCCGUAAGGCAAUCGUACAGACACAUUCUGCCGAGUGUGUGGACAUUGAUAAUGAGAGCAAUCAAGUGCCUUAAGGGUGUUCGGUGGAUGCCUUGGCGCUGAG
Molecule: transfer RNA, 854 nt
Filed under: Bradyrhizobium japonicum
Lineage: Bacteria; Pseudomonadati; Pseudomonadota; Alphaproteobacteria; Hyphomicrobiales; Nitrobacteraceae
Description: partial contains 16S-23S ribosomal RNA intergenic spacer, and 23S ribosomal RNA
Rfam family: tRNA (bases 206-279)
Source: RNAcentral